UACAGAGGUCUCAAGCGUUGCUCGGAAUCAUUGGGCGUAAAGGGCGCGUAGGCGGCGGGGUCAGUCGGGUGUGAAAUCUUGGGGCUUAACCCCGAAACGGCACUCGAAACUGCCCGGCUGGAGGGCCGGAGAGGAGAUCGGAAUUCACGGUGUAGCAGUGAAAUGCGUAGAGAUCGUGAGGAAGACCCGUGGCGAAGGCGGAUCUCUGGACGGGUAACUGACGCUGAGGCGCGAAGGCCAGGGGAGCAAACGGG
Molecule: ribosomal RNA, 254 nt
Filed under: uncultured bacterium
Lineage: Bacteria
Description: partial 16S ribosomal RNA
Rfam family: Bacterial small subunit ribosomal RNA
Source: RNAcentral